GACGAACGCUGGCGGCGUGCUUAACACAUGCAAGUCGAACGAAGAGCGAUGGAAGCUUGCUUCUAUCAAUCUUAGUGGCGAACGGGUGAGUAACGCGUAAUCAACCUGCCCUUCAGAGGGGGACAACAGUUGGAAACGACUGCUAAUACCGCAUACGAUCUAAUCUCGGCAUCGAGGAUAGAUGAAAGGUGGCCUCUACAUGUAAGCUAUCACUGCAGGAGGGGAUUGCGUCUGAUUAGUUAGUUGGCGGGGUAACGGCCCACCAAGGCGAUGAUCAGUAGCCGGUCUGAGAGGAUGGACGGCCACAUUGGGACUGGGACACGGCCCAGACUCCUACGGGAGGCAGCAGUGGGGAAUCUUGCGCAAUGGACGAAAGUCUGACGGAGCAACGCCGCGUGAGCGAUGACGGCCUUCGGGUUGUAAAGCUCUGUUAAUCGGGACGAAAGGCCUUCUUGCGAAUAGUGAGAAGGAUUGACGGUACCGGAAUAGAAAGCCACGGCUAACUACGUG
Molecule: ribosomal RNA, 510 nt
Filed under: uncultured bacterium
Lineage: Bacteria
Description: partial 16S ribosomal RNA
Rfam family: Bacterial small subunit ribosomal RNA
Source: RNAcentral